This 1554-nucleotide long non-coding RNA is filed under the name Zea mays. Its description in RNAcentral is "long non-coding RNA (ZMAY_LNC002181)". The record is from RNAcentral. Lineage: Eukaryota; Viridiplantae; Streptophyta; Magnoliopsida; Poales; Poaceae.
CAAUAUCAAAAAUCCAUCUUAUAUCUGAGAAGGCUUCAUGAAUCGUUCUUUUGUUAGAAAUUCUCUUCGGAAUUGCCUUAAAUAUUCUAGGUGCAAGAUUAGCAAUUUUCUACCCAUAAAUCCAUUUAUCAAUCUAGAACAAAGUGUGUGCCCAAUUCCCAACUUCCGAGAGCAGCACCACCGGGAAGAAAGCUCGUGCUUUUUGCCUGACACUUGGAUAGGUAAACUACACAAUGUCCAACUAAGCUCUUUGAGACCGGAGAUGCAAGUCUGUCCAUCUAGAGAGGUCUACAAACACUUCCUCAUGCAACGAAGCAGUGCCCUUUCGACUUCAUUUCACCAUAUAAGGUUAUGUUUGGAUACUCUUAUAUUUACUUCGAUACAUAUGGUUGGGGUGGAUUGAGGGCUCGUUCGUUUCACCGUUAAUACAUGUGGAUUGAAUGGUAUUGAGUCGGUUUAAAUACAUAGCAAGUUAAAAUACAUCUCAAUACAUUCUAAUCCACAUGAAUUAGAAUAACCGAAAUACAUUCUAAUCCACAUGGAAUUAGAAUAACCGAACAAGGCAUGAGAUAUAAAUCGGUUUAAUUUACAUCUUAAUCCCCCUCAACCCAUGAGUAUUGGGAUGAAUACCAAGCCCUAAAGAAAACUUAUUCUGAUUUUUAUCAAUAGUCUUGAUAGCCCAAGAGGGAAUAUUAAUAACUAUAGAAAGAUACAUAAGCAUCCCAUUAAGCACAUAAUGUUCUUGCACUCUCGUGAAUAUGAUUUCCAUCCGGAGAGUUGAUCUACAAUUCUAUCUACAAAAGGUUGUAACUGAACAGAACAGCCAAAGAGGGCAGCUAAGGCAGCCACAUAUUCGUCAGACAAGGGUUGAUGGAAAAGCUUAGCAUACUCUUCUUCUAAGGCAUGGCAACUGAUGCAUUCAUCAUCUUCAAUAACCCUCAGGGUCUUUUGGCUGCAGUUCGUUUUUGUUUCUUUUUCUAACUAUUUGUUGCUUGCAGCCACACCGAUCAUUCUAUCUAACGAAUGAUUUCACACACCAUACAGUCACGCCUAAAUGGCAGCAAGUGCAUAUAGUACGAAACUCUCAAACAAGACACAACAGAUACUAAAUCCAAAAGGCGACCAGCCAAGUGUCAAUUGUAUGCCUAUAACAAAUGAGGUCAGAUAUCAUCACUCUUCAUCUCAGGGCCGUAACAGACAAAGGCCGGUUCUAGACAUGAGGAAGAUCAGUUCUCAGUUGUUACUCCGCCAGUGGAUGCCUGAUGAUCCCACGCCCUUCAUCCAGAAGGAAGCCGUUGUCCCUGAAGCACGCGCUGGAGAAGAACGGCUUCAGAUCGUAGAUCUCGUAUUCUUGGGCCUGGGUCAACACAGGUGCAGUCCAGAUGUUAGAGAGGUCACUCAGCUCGGUUGUCUUUUGUGUGGAAGCACUCAUGAAGGCUUACCUUGUUCCUCAGGUCCUCCAAUUUGACCUCGACGUGAGUAAGACGUGAGGCUGAUCCUGCCAUGAUUUCUUCGAAGUGCACGGCGUCCUUGACCAGUGUGCGCAGGAGCAGC